AGAAUAGCUUGCUGGUGGCACACGUUUCAAAUAAGCAAACAAUCAUACUAGCAAACAUUACUCGGUGUGGCGUCAGUUUGGCAUGGCAGUGCUGUGACUGAGUCAGAGUUUCGACCCAAUGAUUUGUCUGACAACCAAAGCACUUGGUUGGAUCAAAGCUGGUGGGACAUUCAAUGACAUCAUCAAGAGAUAUGUCAGAGAAGUAUUUUUGGGAUCAUAUCGUUUCUUUCAAGACAAUGACCCAAAACACACUGCCGCCCGGGUUUGCAUUGCAAAUGAGUGCAUGAACUGGGUCAAGACGCCAGCAGAUUCUCCUGAUUUAAACCCGAUCGAACUUGUUUGGCAUGAGCUGAAAACAUGAAUCUGUAACUCUGUCAAACCUACAAGCAAAGAUGAACUGGUGAAGGGCAUCAAGACGUUUUGGCUUGAGAAACUGAUGAUACAACAAUGCAACAAAUACAUUGAUCAUCUCAGAAAGGUUUGACCUGUGGAGCAACUAAA
This is a long non-coding RNA of Salvelinus namaycush (lake trout), 501 nucleotides long. RefSeq lists it as uncharacterized. The record is from RefSeq and is a predicted model, not a curated record. The transcript has 4 exons. Lineage: Eukaryota; Metazoa; Chordata; Actinopteri; Salmoniformes; Salmonidae.